This 644-nucleotide ribosomal RNA is filed under the name uncultured Actinomycetes bacterium. RNAcentral's name for it is "bacterial SSU rRNA". It matches the Rfam family "Bacterial small subunit ribosomal RNA", at positions 231 to 885 of the family's 1533-position model. Lineage: Bacteria; Bacillati; Actinomycetota; Actinomycetes. The record is from RNAcentral.
UCGCGGCCUAUCAGCUUGUUGGUGGGGUAAUGGCUCACCAAGGCGACGACGGGUAGCCGGCCUGAGAGGGCGACCGGCCACACUGGGACUGAGACACGGCCCAGACUCCUACGGGAGGCAGCAGUGGGGAAUAUUGCACAAUGGGCGAAAGCCUGAUGCAGCGACGCCGCGUGAGGGAUGAAGGCCUUCGGGUUGUAAACCUCUUUCAGUAGGGAAGAAGCGCAAGUGACGGUACCUACAGAAGAAGCACCGGCUAACUACGUGCCAGCAGCCGCGGUAAUACGUAGGGUGCGAGCGUUGUCCGGAAUUAUUGGGCGUAAAGAGCUUGUAGGCGGUUUGUCGCGUCUGCCGUGAAAAUCCGGGGCUCAACUCCGGACUUGCGGUGGGUACGGGCAGACUAGAGUGUGGUAGGGGAGACUGGAAUUCCUGGUGUAGCGGUGAAAUGCGCAGAUAUCAGGAGGAACACCGAUGGCGAAGGCAGGUCUCUGGGCCACUACUGACGCUGAGAAGCGAAAGCAUGGGUAGCAAACAGGAUUAGAUACCCUGGUAGUCCAUGCCGUAAACGUUGGGCACUAGGUGUGGGGAGAACUCAACUCUCUCCGCGCCGUAGCUAACGCAUUAAGUGCCCCGCCUGGGGAGUACGG